This 484-nucleotide ribosomal RNA is filed under the name uncultured bacterium. RNAcentral's name for it is "partial 16S ribosomal RNA". It matches the Rfam family "Bacterial small subunit ribosomal RNA", at positions 30 to 507 of the family's 1533-position model. The record is from RNAcentral.
AUUGAACGCUGGCGGCAGGCCUAACACAUGCGAGUCGAGCGGAUGAAGGGAGCUUGCUCCUGGAUUCAGCGGCGGACGGGUGAGUAAUGCCUAGGAAUCUGCCUGGUAGUGGGGGAUAACGUCCGGAAACGGGCGCUAAUACCGCAUACGUCCUGAGGGAGAAAGUGGGGGAUCUUCGGACCUCACGCUAUCAGAUGAGCCUAGGUCGGAUUAGCUAGUUGGUGGGGUAAAGGCCUACCAAGGCGACGAUCCGUAACUGGUCUGAGAGGAUGAUCAGUCACACUGGAACUGAGACACGGUCCAGGCUCCUACGGGAGGAAGCAGUGGGGAAUAUUGGACAAUGGGCGAAAGCCUGAUCCAGCCAUGCCGCGUGUGUGAAGAAGGUCUUCGGAUUGUAAAGCACUUUAAGUUGGGAGGAAGGGCAGUAAGUUAAUACCUUGCUGUUUUGACGGUACCAACAGAAUAAGCACCGGCUAACUUCGUG